This 270-nucleotide ribosomal RNA is filed under the name uncultured soil bacterium. Its description in RNAcentral is "partial 16S ribosomal RNA". It matches the Rfam family "Bacterial small subunit ribosomal RNA", at positions 26 to 282 of the family's 1533-position model. The record is from RNAcentral.
AGAAUCAACGCUGGCGGCGUGCCUAACACAUGCAAGUCGAACGCGACUGGGGACUUCGGUUCCCAGUUGAGUGGCGAACGGGUGAGUAACACGUGGGUGACCUACCUUCGAGUGGGGGAUAACGUUCCGAAAGGAACGCUAAUACCGCAUGACGUUCCGGGUUUGAACACCUGGAAACCAAAGCCGGGGACCGCAAGGCCUGGCGCUAGAAGAGGGGCCCGCGCCUGAUUAGCUAGUUGGUGAGGUAACGGCUCACCAAGGCGACGAUCA